AGAGUUUGAUCCUGGCUCAGAAUCAACGCUGGCGGCGCGCUUAACACAUGCAAGUCGAACGAGAAAGGGGAGCAAUCCCUGAGUAAAGUGGCGUACGGGUGAGUAACACGUGGGUAAUCUACCUUUUGGUGGGGAAUAACGCUGGGAAACCGGUGCUAAUACCGGAUACCCCCAUUCCGCCGCAUGACGGGAUGAGGAAAUGAAUUUCGCUUCGGGAGGGGCUCGCGGCCUAUCAGCUUGUUGGUGAGGUAACGGCUCACCAAGGCUUCGACGGGUGGCUGGUCUGAGAGGACGAUCAGCCACACUGGGACUGAGACACGGCCCAGACUCCUACGGGAGGCAGCAGUGGGGAAUCUUGCGCAAUGGGCGAAAGCCUGACGCAGCAACGCCGCGUGGGGGAUGACGGCCUUCGGGUUGUAAACCCCUUUCAGCAGGGACGAAAUUGACGGUACCUGCAGAAGAAGCCCCGGCCAACUACGUGCCAGCAGCCGCGGUAAUACGUAGGGGGCAAGCGUUGUCCGGAUUCAUUGGGCGUAAAGGGCGCGUAGGCGGCUUGGCAAGUCGGAUGUGAAACCUCCAGGCUCAACCUGGAGAUGCCACCCGAUACUGCUAUGGCUCGAGUUCGGUAGGGGAUCACGGAAUACCUGGUGUAGCGGUGAAAUGCGCAGAUAUCAGGUGGAACACCGGUGGCGAAGGCGGUGAUCUGGGCCGACACUGACGCUGAUGCGCGAAAGCGUGGGGAGCGAACAGGAUUAGAUACCCCCGUAGUCC
This 771-nucleotide ribosomal RNA is filed under the name uncultured bacterium. Its description in RNAcentral is "bacterial SSU rRNA". It matches the Rfam family "Bacterial small subunit ribosomal RNA", at positions 8 to 796 of the family's 1533-position model. The record is from RNAcentral.